This 898-nucleotide ribosomal RNA is filed under the name Metapochonia bulbillosa. RNAcentral's name for it is "LSU rRNA". It matches the Rfam family "Eukaryotic large subunit ribosomal RNA", at positions 37 to 965 of the family's 3401-position model. Lineage: Eukaryota; Fungi; Ascomycota; Sordariomycetes; Hypocreales; Clavicipitaceae. The record is from RNAcentral.
AGCAUAUCAAUAAGCGGAGGAAAAGAAACCAACAGGGAUUGCCCCAGUAACGGCGAGUGAAGCGGCAACAGCUCAAAUUUGAAAUCUGGCCCCCAGGGUCCGAGUUGUAAUUUGCAGAGGAUGAUUUUGGCGAGGUGCCUUCCGAGUUCCCUGGAACGGGACGCCACAGAGGGUGAGAGCCCCGUCUGGUUGGACGCCGAGCCUAUGUAAAUCUCCUUCGACGAGUCGAGUAGUUUGGGAAUGCUGCUCUAAAUGGGAGGUAUAUGUCUUCUAAAGCUAAAUAUUGGCCAGAGACCGAUAGCGCACAAGUAGAGUGAUCGAAAGAUGAAAAGCACUUUGAAAAGAGGGUUAAAUAGUACGUGAAAUUGUUGAAAGGGAAGCGCUCAUGACCAGACUUGGGCCCGGUGAAUCAUCCAGCGUUCUCGCUGGUGCACUUUGCCGGGCUCAGGCCAGCAUCAGUUUGCCCCGGGGGAUAAAGGCUUUGGGAAUGUGGCUCCUCCGGGAGUGUUAUAGCCCAUUGCAUAAUAUCCUGGGGCGGACUGAGGUUCGCGCAUCUGCAAGGAUGCUGGCGUAAUGGUCAUCAGCGACCCGUCUUGAAACACGGACCAAGGAGUCGUCUUCGUAUGCGAGUGUUCGGGUGUAAAACCCCUACGCGUAAUGAAAGUGAACGCAGGUGAGAGCUUCGGCGCAUCAUCGACCGAUCCUGAUGUUCUCGGAUGGAUUUGAGUAAGAGCAUACGGGGCCGGACCCGAAAGAAGGUGAACUAUGCCUGUAUAGGGUGAAGCCAGAGGAAACUCUGGUGGAGGCUCGCAGCGGUUCUGACGUGCAAAUCGAUCGUCAAAUAUGGGCAUGGGGGCGAAAGACUAAUCGAACCUUCUAGUAGCUGGUUUCCGCCGAA